CUCCGAGUAGCUAUAAACUUGCAUUAAAAAGGAAUAAACACAAGUGACACAAUAAAAUGUACUUAAUAUAUGAACUCACGAACAUUGUGUGCAGGAAAAGUUAAUAGAAAUAAUGGUCAAUUACAUCAUGUAAUUUGGUUCUAUACUCUUUUGUGUAUAUAUCCUGAAUGCUACCUCUUUGUGAUCAACUCUUUGUCCUUCGAAUCGAAUGGCACAGCUACUGCCCCUUGUGGAAAAAGAAAUCACUCUGUAAUACCCAUAAAUGUAAGAGGCAAAUAUCAUGUGAUGCAUCUCAACCUGCGCAAAACAAUGUAAAAACUGUACAUGCUAUCUACAUACUCUCAUUGUGUAGCAAAGCAACAAAGCAUAAGGACCCUAUGUCACAACUGUACCUUGAAGCACGAUCAACAUGCAGGACCUAGCUCGUAAUUCUAUUUAGGAAUCAUUGUCUUCAUAAAGUAAUCAGUAAACUUGGUCAUCCAUGGACCGACUGUAGCUUGCUUGCUAAUUUCCACCUGUCACAAAUAAGACAAU
Molecule: ribosomal RNA, 534 nt
Filed under: Triticum aestivum (bread wheat)
Lineage: Eukaryota; Viridiplantae; Streptophyta; Magnoliopsida; Poales; Poaceae
Description: partial small subunit ribosomal RNA
Source: RNAcentral